UACGAAGGGGGCUAGCGUUGUUCGGAAUUACUGGGCGUAAAGCGCGCGCAGGCGGUUUUUCAAGUCAGUGGUGAAAGCCCGGAGCUCAACUCCGGAACUGCCAUUGAAACUGUGAGACUUGAGGACGAGAGAGGUGAGUGGAAUUCCCAGUGUAGAGGUGAAAUUCGUAGAUAUUGGGAAGAACACCGGUGGCGAAGGCGGCUCACUGGCUCGUAUCUGACGCUCAGGCGCGACAGCGUGGGGAUCAAACAGG
RNAcentral lists this ribosomal RNA (253 nucleotides) under uncultured bacterium. RNAcentral describes it as "partial 16S ribosomal RNA". It matches the Rfam family "Bacterial small subunit ribosomal RNA", at positions 524 to 776 of the family's 1533-position model. The record is from RNAcentral.